CGAGGUGCUUGAUUUGUCUUCUGGAGAUCUGCACAGAGGAGGAAUAAAACCCAUCACCUUUGUUCGUCAAGUCCUUGCUGCCUGCUUUUAUCCAGCCCUUUUGGAGGAUGACAGUCUGCCAUUAGAUGUUAAACAGAGGGCCGAAAGUCUCCUUAGAGAAUGCGAUGGUGGAAGCGUAGGCUCAUAUACAGAUUCAAGUGGAAUCACCAAAAUUAAACACUGCGUGUCUCAGUUUAUUACCAGGAGAGAUGGAGGAGUUCCUUCCUCACCUGACAACAUCUUC
Molecule: long non-coding RNA, 283 nt
Organism: Sinocyclocheilus rhinocerous
Lineage: Eukaryota; Metazoa; Chordata; Actinopteri; Cypriniformes; Cyprinidae
Exons: 3
Source: RefSeq, a predicted model, not a curated record